UUUAAUUUGAAACACUGAACAUAUUUUUCGAUAUUGAAAAUUCCAAAAGUAAUGCGUCUCUUUCCACGAUUUAUUAUUGAAUGAAGACCAAUUUUGACGGAUCAAAAUAUAGUUAUAUGUAUAUUAAAUGAAGCACAUAGAACCAGCAUGUAUUUGGAGAUAAGAUUUUUGGAACAAUUUUGGAAUUACUCCCCCCUAAAAUAACUUUCUAGUAAAAUUCAAGACGUCAGAAUCUAUGAACGCAGUGAACGCUGACGCUUGUUGCAGUCCAUAAAAGACGAUGUAAAUAAACUGGCAACUGGUGCCUGAAGAAGAAGGGACACAAUGAAGAACACGAGAAAAGCUGUACGCGGCUGUACGUUAACGUUUACAUAGAGAGAAUUUUUUUUAAAUACAAGAGCUAAAAUUCAUUUUA
Long non-coding RNA from Contarinia nasturtii (swede midge), 415 nucleotides. RefSeq lists it as uncharacterized. The record is from RefSeq and is a predicted model, not a curated record. The transcript is spliced from 3 exons. Lineage: Eukaryota; Metazoa; Arthropoda; Insecta; Diptera; Cecidomyiidae.